UUUCCGCUAAUGUGUUAAGUGAUCAAGCAAAACAGAGAUGUUUCUAGGCAAUACGCCCUGUCCAACUUAAUGUCUAAUUCGUUUAAGUGGAUUACUAUGUUUGGUUAACACCAUUAAUCACAACAAUUAACCGUUUUU
Non-coding RNA from Caenorhabditis elegans, 138 nucleotides. The record is from Ensembl. Lineage: Eukaryota; Metazoa; Nematoda; Chromadorea; Rhabditida; Rhabditidae.